RNAcentral lists this ribosomal RNA (775 nucleotides) under uncultured Arcobacter sp. RNAcentral describes it as "bacterial SSU rRNA". It matches the Rfam family "Bacterial small subunit ribosomal RNA", at positions 568 to 1340 of the family's 1533-position model. Lineage: Bacteria; Pseudomonadati; Campylobacterota; Epsilonproteobacteria; Campylobacterales; Arcobacteraceae. The record is from RNAcentral.
CGUGUAGGCGGGUAGUUAAGUCAGAAGUGAAAUCCAAUAGCUCAACUAUUGAACUGCUUUUGAAACUGAUUACCUAGAAUAUGGGAGAGGUAGAUGGAAUUUCUGGUGUAGGGGUAAAAUCCGUAGAGAUCAGGAGGAAUACCGAUUGCGAAGGCGAUCUACUGGGAACAUUAUUGACGCUGAGACGCGAAAGCGUGGGGAGCAAACAGGAUUAGAUACCCUGGUAGUCCACGCCCUAAACGAUGUACACUAGUUGUUGUGAGGCUCGACCUUGCAGUAAUGCAGUUAACACAUUAAGUGUACCGCCUGGGGAGUACGGUCGCAAGAUUAAAACUCAAAGGAAUAGACGGGGACCCGCACAAGCGGUGGAGCAUGUGGUUUAAUUCGACGAUACACGAAGGACCUUACCUGGACUUGACAUAGUAAGAACUUUCUAGAGAUAGAUUGGUGUCUGCUUGCAGAAACUUAUAUACAGGUGCUGCACGGCUGUCGUCAGCUCGUGUCGUGAGAUGUUGGGUUAAGUCCCGCAACGAGCGCAACCCUCGUCAUUAGUUGCUAACAGUUCGGCUGAGAACUCUAAUGAGACUGCCUACGCAAGUAGGAGGAAGGUGAGGACGACGUCAAGUCAUCAUGGCCCUUACGUCCAGGGCUACACACGUGCUACAAUGGGGUAUACAAAGAGCCGCAAUACGGUGACGUGGAGCAAAUCUCAAAAAUAUCUCCCAGUUCGGAUUGUAGUCUGCAACUCGACUACAUGAAGUUGGAAUCGCUAGUA